UACGGAGGGUGCUAGAGUUGUUCGGAAUUACUGGGCGUAAAGCGCACGUAGGCGACCGUUCAAGUCAGAGGUGAAAGCCCGGGGCUCAACCCCGGAAUAGCCUUUGAAACUAGAUGGCUUGAAUCUUGGAGAGGUCAGUGGAAUUCCGAGUGUAGAGGUGAAAUUCGUAGAUAUUCGGAAGAACACCAGUGGCGAAGGCGACUGACUGGACAAGUAUUGACGCUGAGGUGCGAAAGCGUGGGGAGCAAACAGG
This 253-nucleotide ribosomal RNA is filed under the name uncultured bacterium. Its description in RNAcentral is "partial 16S ribosomal RNA". It matches the Rfam family "Bacterial small subunit ribosomal RNA", at positions 524 to 776 of the family's 1533-position model. The record is from RNAcentral.